Molecule: ribosomal RNA, 407 nt
Filed under: Verrucomicrobiota bacterium
Lineage: Bacteria; Pseudomonadati; Verrucomicrobiota
Description: Verrucomicrobia bacterium partial 16S ribosomal RNA
Rfam family: Bacterial small subunit ribosomal RNA
Source: RNAcentral
UGGGGAAUUUUCCGCAAUGGGCGAAAGCCUGACGGAGCAAUACCGCGUGAGGGAUGACGGCCUAUGGGUUGUAAACCUCUUUUUUCAGGGAGGAAUCAAUGACGUGUACCUGAAGAAUAAGCAUCGGCUAACUCCGUGCCAGCAGCCGCGGUAAGACGGAGGAUGCAAGUGUUAUCCGGAAUCACUGGGCGUAAAGCGUCUGUAGGUGGUUUAAUAAGUCAACUGUUAAAUCUUGAGGCUCAACCUCAAAAUCGCAGUCGAAACUAUUAGACUAGAGUAUAGGAGGGGGAAAGGGAAGUUCCAGUGGGGCGGUGAAAUGCGUAGGUAUUUGAAGGAACACCGAUGGCGAAGGCACGUUACUGGGCUAUUACUAACACUCAGAGACGAAAGCUAGGGUAGCAAAUGGG